CCCCUAGAUGUUCUGGGCCGCACGCGCGCUACACUGAACAGUUCAACAAGUCUUAACCUUGGCCGAUAGGUCUGGGUAAUCUUUGAACGCUGUUCGUGAUUGGGAUAGACCUUUGCAAUUAUGGGUCUUCAACGAGGAAUUCCUAGUAAACGCAAGUCAUCAGCUUGCAUUGAUUACGUCCCUGCCCUUUGUACACACCGCCCGUCGCACCUACCGAUUGAAUGGUCCGGUGAAUAAUUCGGACUGCAGCAGUGUUCAGUUCCUGAACGUUGCAGCGGAAAGUUUAGUGAACCUUAUCACUUAGAGGAAGGAGAANUCGUANCA
Molecule: ribosomal RNA, 324 nt
Filed under: uncultured eukaryote
Lineage: Eukaryota
Description: partial 18S ribosomal RNA
Rfam family: Eukaryotic small subunit ribosomal RNA
Source: RNAcentral